GAUGAAGAACGUAGCGAAAUGCGAUAAGUAAUGUGAAUUGCAGAAUUCAGUGAAUCAUCGAAUCUUUGAACGCACAUUGCGCCCGCCAGUAUUCUGGCGGGCAUGCCUGUUCGAGCGUCAUUUCCACCAUCAGGCCCCCGGGCCCGUGUUGGGGACCUGCGGCUGCCCGCAGGCCCCGAAAUUCAGUGGCGGUCGCGCCGUAGCAACCGAGCGUAGUAACUAAAACGUCUCGCUCUGGCUCGCUGGGCGCGCUCCGGCCGUAAAACACCCCCCCUUUUCGCAAAGGUUGACCUCGGAUCAGGUAGGAAUACCCGCUGAACUUAAGCAUAUCAAUAAGCGGAGGA
RNAcentral lists this unclassified non-coding RNA (344 nucleotides) under soil metagenome. RNAcentral's name for it is "partial contains 5.8S ribosomal RNA, internal transcribed spacer 2, and large subunit ribosomal RNA". The stretch from base 1 to 120 matches the Rfam family "5.8S ribosomal RNA", at positions 35 to 154 of the family's 154-position model. The record is from RNAcentral.